GAUGGGCCUGCUCGGUGAAACGUCUUAACAGCUGCGGUAUUUUAACUGUACUAAGGUAGCAUAAUAAUUUGCCUUAUAAUUUGAGGCUAGAAUGAAUGGUUUGACGAAGGUUAAUCUGUCUCUGCUUUAUUUUUUAGAAAUUAAUUUUCAUAGUGAAAAAGCUUGAAUUUCUUAAGGGGACGAGAAGACCCUACUGAGCUUAUAAUUUUAUUAUCACAUAUAUUUAUGUAUAAUGUGCUAUAUAAAUUUUAAUUGGGGUGAUUAAGGAAUAAUAUAGCUAUUUUAUAACUUCCUUAGAUAUUAUAUUGUUGAAUUAAGUAACCGAUUAACUAAUAGAAUUGUAUUAUGUAUUGCUUAUAAUAUAGUUACCAUAGGGAUAACAGCGUAAUUUACUUAGAGAGUUCUUAUUGAAAAGUAAGAUUGCGACCUCGAUGUUGGAUUAAAGUGACCUUAAG
Molecule: ribosomal RNA, 455 nt
Filed under: Uroteuthis chinensis
Lineage: Eukaryota; Metazoa; Mollusca; Cephalopoda; Myopsida; Loliginidae
Description: partial 16S ribosomal RNA
Rfam family: Bacterial large subunit ribosomal RNA
Source: RNAcentral